This 497-nucleotide ribosomal RNA is filed under the name uncultured bacterium. Its description in RNAcentral is "partial 16S ribosomal RNA". It matches the Rfam family "Bacterial small subunit ribosomal RNA", at positions 28 to 507 of the family's 1533-position model. The record is from RNAcentral.
GAUGAACGCUGGCGGCGUGCCUAAUACAUGCAAGUCGAGCGAACAGAUGAGGAGCUUGCUCCUCUGACGUUAGCGGCGGACGGGUGAGUAACACGUGGAUAACCUACCUAUAAGACUGGGAUAACUUCGGGAAACCGGAGCUAAUACCGGAUAAUAUAUUGAACCGCAUGGUUCAAUAGUGAAAGACGGUUUUGCUGUCACUUAUAGAUGGAUCCGCGCCGCAUUAGCUAGUUGGUAAGGUAACGGCUCACCAAGGCAACGAUGCGUAGCCGACCUGAGAGGGUGAUCGGCCACACUGGAACUGAGAGACGGUCCAGACUCCUACGGGAGGCAGCAGUAGGGAAUCUUCCGCAAUGGGCGAAAGCCUGACGGAGCAACGCCGCGUGAGUGAUGAAGGUCUUCGGAUCGUAAAACUCUGUUAUUAGGGAAGAACAAAUGUGUAAGUAACUAUGCACGUCUUGACGGUGCCUAAUCGGAGGGCCGCGGGUGGCUACGUG